UUGUUGGUAAGGUAAAAGCUUACCAAGGCUUCGAUCAGUAGCUGGUAUGAGAGGACGACCAGCCACACUGGGACUGAGACACGGCCCAGACUCCUACGGGAGGCAGCAGUGGGGAAUUUUGGACAAUGGGGGCAACCCUGAUCCAGCCAUGCCGCGUGAGUGAAGAAGGCCUUCGGGUUGUAAAGCUCUUUCAGCCGGAACGAAACGGUUACGGUUAACACCCGUGACUACUGACGGUACCGGAAGAAGAAGCACCGGCUAACUACGUGCCAGCAGCCGCGGUAAUACGUAGGGUGCGAGCGUUAAUCGGAAUUACUGGGCGUAAAGCGUGCGCAGGUGGUUUUGUAAGUCAGAUGUGAAAGCCCCGGGCUCAACCUGGGAACUGCGUUUGAAACUACAAGACUAGAGUGUGGCAGAGGGGGGUGGAAUUCCGCGUGUAGCAGUGAAAUGCGUAGAGAUGUGGAGGAACACCGAUGGCGAAGGCAGCCCCCUGGGUCAACACUGACGCUCAGGCACGAAAGCAUGGGGAGCAAACAGGAUUAGAUACCCUGGUAGUCCAUGCCCUAAACGAUGUCAACUAGUUGUCGGGCCUUUACGGGCUUGGUAACGUAGCUAACGCGUGAAGUUGACCGCCUGGGGAGUACGAUCGCAAGAUUAAAACUCAAAUGAAUUGACGGGGACCCGCACAAGCGGUGGAUUAUGUGGAUUAAUUCGAUGCAACGCGAAAAACCUUACCUACCCUUGACAUGUAUCGAAGCCCGCAGAAAAGCGGGGGUGCCCGAAAGGGAACGAUAACACAGGUGCUGCAUGGCUGUCGUCAGCUCGUGUCGUGAGAUGUUGGGUUAAGUCCCGCAACGAGCGCAACCCUUGUCAUUAAUUGCCAUCAUUUAGUUGGGCACUUUAAUGAGACUGCCGG
RNAcentral lists this ribosomal RNA (916 nucleotides) under uncultured bacterium. RNAcentral describes it as "bacterial SSU rRNA". It matches the Rfam family "Bacterial small subunit ribosomal RNA", at positions 246 to 1155 of the family's 1533-position model. The record is from RNAcentral.